RNAcentral lists this ribosomal RNA (374 nucleotides) under uncultured organism. RNAcentral's name for it is "bacterial SSU rRNA". It matches the Rfam family "Bacterial small subunit ribosomal RNA", at positions 526 to 896 of the family's 1533-position model. The record is from RNAcentral.
CAGAGGGUGCGAGCGUUGUUCGGAAUUACUGGGCGUAAAGCGCGCGCAGGCGGCCCUUUAAGUCUACCCGUGAAAUGCCGGAGCUCAACUCCGUGCACGCCGGGGGAUACUGGGGGGCUGGAGACAUGUAGAGGCAAGCGGAAUUCCGGGUGUAGCGGUGGAAUGCGUAGAUAUCCGGAAGAACACCUGAGGCGAAGGCGGCUUGCUGGGCAUGAUCUGACGCUGAGGCGCGAAAGCGUGGGGAGCAAACAGGAUUAGAUACCCUGGUAGUCCACGCCGUAAACGAUGGGCACUAGACGCGGGUGGGAUCGACCCCUUCCGUGACGCAGCUAACGCGAUAAGUGCCCCGCCUGGGGAGUACGGCCGCAAGGCUG